Dermochelys coriacea (leatherback sea turtle) is the source of this 5998-nucleotide RNA transcript. It is a transcript of the gene named docking protein 5, with no coding region annotated. The record is from RefSeq and is a predicted model, not a curated record. The transcript has 10 exons. NCBI's taxonomy places the organism in Eukaryota, Metazoa, Chordata, Testudines, Dermochelyidae.
GGCUGGCCUGGGGGCUUUCUGCCCUGCUGGGGAGUAAGGCAGAGGGCGGAUCCCGCUGUUCUGCCAGAGGAGAGGAGCUGAGCUCAUUGCACAUCCCAGGCAGCUGCAGCCGGCAGCGCUGUCAGCUGAUGUGGGGGGGUGUCUUCUAGCCUCUCUUCCUCCCUCUCCCAAGUGGAUUAAAACUCUUGCCGCUGAGUUUCUGGGUCAGGAGGAUUAUUCUAAGUGAUGUGGGCUUGGUGAAUCAUUUCAGCCACAGACUGGCUUCAACUGGGGCGAGUAGCUCCUCCCCACAAAAAGGAUGGCUUCCAAUUUUAAUGACAUAGUGAAGCAAGGGUAUGUAAAGAUUAGGAGCAGACGUUUAGGUAUUUAUCAGAGAUGCUGGUUAGUAUUCAAGAAAGCUUCAAGCAAAGGGCCAAAACGACUGGAGAAGUUUUCAGAUGAGCAUGCUGCCUAUUUUAGGUGCUACCAUAAGGUCACAGAGCUCAAUAACGUGAAGAAUAUAUUACGACUGCCAAAAAGCACGAAGAAACAUGCUGUAGGCAUUUAUUUCAAUGAUGACUCAUCUAAAACCUUUGCUUGUGAAUCAGAUUUUCUGGGCAUUUAUACAGAACUCGAGGCGGAUGAGUGGUGCAAAGUGCUGCAGAUGGAAUGCCUAGGAACUCAAAUUAAUGACAUAAGCCUUGGAGAGCCUGACUUGUUGGCAUCUGGUGUAGAAAGGGAGCAGAGUGAGAGAUUCAAUGUGUAUUUAAUGCCAUCCCCUAAUUUAGAGGUGCAUGGGGAAUGUACCUUGCAGAUAACAUUUGAGCAUAUCUGUCUUUGGGAUAUCCAGAAUCCCAGAGUAAAACUCAUCUCUUGGCCAUUAAGUGCCCUCCGGCGGUAUGGACGAGACCCAACCUGGUUUACAUUUGAAGCAGGGAGGAUGUGUGACACUGGGGAAGGACUAUUCAUCUUUCAGACAAGAGAUGGGGAGGCGAUCUAUCAGAAGGUUCACUCAGCUGCUUUGGCCAUAGCCGAACAACAUGAGCGCUUAUUACAGAGUGUGAAAAAUUCAGUGGUUUUUUUAUUUUUCUGAAUGUGGGCCAGGAUUUGGAAUCAGAAUCACAAAAAGAAAGCUAGAGAGGCUGUUCUCACAGUAAUUCCUACCAAACUAGAAUGAGGAAAUACAAGAAACCGUGAAAGGAAAAAGAAUCGUACUGUUCUCUUAAGGUGUCAAGCCAAAUUUUGCAGAUUGGAUAAUUGAGCUAAACUUCAAUUAAGCACCCAAGCUAAUAAAUAAUUCAUUGCUGUAGUUUUGCAAGGCAUUUUGGAAGAGCUUGAGUCUGCUAUUAUUUAAAACAAAACAUUGACUUGUUUCCAGUCAAUACCAGUAUAUUAAUUUGUAGUUAAUAUUGACACUUCACAGAUAUUGUUACCUACGUACCUUUCCUAGACUUUCUGCCUUGUAUUCAUUUUCUUAAUCAGCAUCUGUGAUCACCUUGUAGGUAGGAAUGUGGGGAGGUUUUUACCAAGAAGUCAUUCUUGAAGGCAAGAUUCUUCUGUUGAUAUGGUGUUAGCUGGCUCCUUAUAUAUUCACUGUCAUUAUGUCAAUAGAAGAUCCACAUGUGUUGUCAUGAUGACAGAAUACAGCAUACCAAACCUAAAUGCAAUUGUAAAAACUCUGCCCCAAGUGCAGCCAUUGGGAUUUUAGCAAUUUCCAAUGCAGCCUUCAAUUUAUUAGGUUAUAUUUGGGUGGUACUUGUCAAGGACACACUUUGCUUUUCUGCCUCCACAAAUGUAUUGACCUGAGGUGCAAAAUCAGUAGCAAAUGAAGUUUUACGCUGUUCUUUCUCUCAAUGCAGUAUCCUCUACUGAUACAUAUCUUAGAGCUGUGUUGAUGGUUAAAACAUUGGGUUAUUUUCAAGUCUUUAGCAGCAAUGUCAGCCUUUUAUCAAAGGGGGAAUAAAAUGAUGAUUAUUAUUUUAUUUAUUCUGAAUUAGCAGUUAUUUUACUGAUGUAACAAAACAGGUUACAAAUAGCCUGGCCUGGGUCAGACAUACCUAGGAAGCAAGGACUGGCUGCAGUCCGCAAGUGUUGGAAGAGACUGAGUAAUGUGUUGUCUAUUUAGUCAUAGCUAUUUUCAAAGUCUAACACUCUGCGGUAACUUUUUUCUUGUUGAAGUGAAUAGCAUUUUCAGACCACUUCAUAUCUGGUGGUUUUACAGAAGUGUAAAUGGCAGUCUUAUUGUGCAAUAUGGUAUUUGAAGAGUCACUUCAAUUGAUUCUUAAAAUACUAAACUGCACUAAAAUAGUCAUUUCAAUCACUUCAGAGAUACAGUUGCCAUAAAUUUCAGUGGGGAGCAGCUGCAACAGAUCUAAACUCCAUUUUACUAAACUAGGGCCAACUGUAACCUCUAAAAAUAACACUGAAUCCUAGAAUGCUAACCUGACGAUAACAACAUACUCUUCUUUUAAAUUUAAAGGCUUAUCAUUUAGUAGUGGUAUACAAAGAUCAGCCCAUCUACCUCUGGAAACAGACUUGAGACCAACCGGAAAUUCAGAUCUUGGGUUUUUGGUGUAGCCCAUCAUAGAGAUGGCUCUGAAAUAUGGCUCUGGAUCUAGGUUCAGAUUCCAGCCUUCAUCCUAGAGUUCCGGGGUGUCCAGAUUAAGGUUUUUGGUUGUCCUUGUUAGAUUUGAGAGAAUACUUCAUAAUAGGUAAUCUAUUUGAUGAAUUUCACCUCUUUUACAGACCACAAAACAUGUUCAGCUACAUCAUGAAAUUCUAUUUUUAUUUAUAGAAAGUGUACCUGGAAGGGUAGAAUAUGUAGAUCAUUAAAAUUCAUUUUAGAACUCAAAUAUUCACAGAAAAUUUUGUCUGCUAUUUACUCAUCUCUAAGGUCCAUAUCUAAUCAUUGGCUCAGGUACUCCAAUCUGGAUGAGUUGUGCUUAGCACAAGACUGGUGGAAGGUUGGCAGAAGUGACAUUGUUACCCACGUUCUUCCCUAAUUCUGGGACUGACAAGGAAUCAGGCUAGCCCUCACUGCAAUUAGAGCAGACAAGGGCUCAUUUCAGAUAAGAUGCUGUGACCACAUGACCUUUGUCCAGACACAUGACAAGUUUCAAAUGGGAGUGGCGUAAGAUAUGCCAAUUUUAUGACUUCUUUGCACCAUUGGUGCAAAGCAGCCCUGUGACACAUACACACCAGACAGUUGCAUUUACUUGUCAGCAAAGUGAAUUAAAAGAUGUGUCCUUUUUGGAGAGAGCAGAAACAGUGUUGGCCCUCUGCUUGGGUGAAUUUCACCCUUUCUGAUUAUUUGCCACCACACAGCGUAUCUGGUUUAUACCCACCCUUUUCAUGCUUUCUUCCUUUUCUAUUUUGUACCACCAUUCAAUGGAAAAGUAAUAUUUAGAGCACAAACACAUUUUUCAAAACCCAUGAAAGAUUAUCUAGCUGUCAUAAUAAUUGACCAACAGAAUUAUAGUUCCUGACUGUUGCCAUUUAUGCCAGAGCUCAGGCCAAGUUGUUUAAGAAGGAACCUCAUUACUUCUCAUGAUGGAAUAUCAAGACUUAAUGAGAAUGAAACUUCCUAGUUCUGGCAACUGAAAGCCAAUAUUGCCUAGAAUGAUCGUAUUGGCCAGUUCAACGAGCAGCCUAGAUGCUUGGGGGCGGAUUUUCAGACAAAAUUACAUCUGAUGCAUAUGAUAAUACAAGUGCAAUUGGAUUAUUGGAUGGCAAAUUGCUAAUUAUGGUCAUUUCCAUGUGUACUUGUGAUCAUUAGAAAUGGAAAUUAGUGCUGGGAAUGGUACUUUCUAUCUCUGGGACUAGAAAAAAGGAAUACCUUGGAGUAGAAAGGAUGACAGUAGGGUAAAAAAUGAACGACAUAAGUAAACUCAUCAAAAAAAUUUAAAAGGAGCAUUAACACAUCACUGUCUGUCUGAAGAUGUUAAAAUAAAAAUGUUGCCUCUUCUACAGCAUUUGCAUAUCUUUUGCAAUGGAUUUGGUAACUGCCUUAACUAAGCAGUGAUUGUCUUAAAGUUUGAAUUGACAACAUGAACCUACUUCACCUGGAAGGAAAAAAAAAGCCCCAUCUCAAUUAGGGCUGACAAAUGAUUUUAAAAAAUCACAAUUAAGUGUGAGAUUAAAAAAUACUAUUUCUCUUAUCUUUUUUCCAGUGCAAAUAUUUGUAAUAAAAAUAUCAAGUGAGUAUUAUACACUUAGUAUUCAGUGUUGUAAUUGAAAUCAAUAUAUGUAUAAUACAUUUAAAUUGGUAUUCUAUUAUUGUUUAAUAGUGCAAUUAAAACUGAUUAAUCACAACUAUUUUUUAUCUAGUUAAUGUUUUUGCAUUAAUCACAUGUAUUAACUGUGAUUAAUUGACAGCCCUAAUUUCAAUAUAUCCCAGAACUAAUAUUCAGUUACUUUAUAAUUAGUGUUUUUGAUAAAUCUCUGAAAUGUAUACUCAGACUAAGUGAACAGAUCGCACACUAUUAACAAAUGUUUUACAUAAAUUACCUAGAUUGUUUUUUUUCUGUGUGUUUUGUUUUGUGUUGAGAGAGAGAGAGAACGAGAACACAGGCAAUACUAAUUUUGUGGGAUGGUGGUGGUAAGGAGUGGUUUGUUUUUUUUUUAAAUAAACUAUUUCUGAUCCAAACUUUUAGUCCUGGCUGAGCUGUGCUUAAUGUAGGACCCAAGAGAAGAUGCAAAGGUGACUCCCUCAAACUGCUGGACUGCUUGGAAACCAAGCCCCAGGAUUAGGUUCCAUUCUGGUAACUGUCCUCUACAUAAGCCUCUAAUACAACCCCCAUGCCAGGGGAAUUCUCAAAUGCACAGCGGAGGCCGCUUUACACAUCUUUUUCAGCACUAGAAUGACACAAGGGGCCACAGUAAGAGUGAUAAUUUGGCCUUUCUGUAUUCCACAGAAAUCAUUUAAAACACAUUGCAAACCCCAGUUGAAAUCAUGCGUUUUAUUCUCAAUGGACAGAUAAUAUUGGAGAAGUAUUAGACCAAGUUCUGUUCUCAGUCACACUAGUGCAUUCCUAUUGAAGAAGGACUCAAAGAUGCUCUCCUUGUUCAGGAGAAGGAUUUAAGAUGUGGAGACAUUCAUCCAGAAAAAUUUCAGGCACAGCCAGAAUGGAGUCACUAAUAUGGCACAGAAUUCCUUGGCUGGCUGAAACACCACUCAAUAACAUCCCAUCGUACUGCAUUGUUUUACAAAAUAGCUUUUGGCUCUCCUCUAAUGGUGAAAUGGUACAAUGCCACUGACCCCUGAGUGCCUCUAAAUUGCUUUUCCUGUUACGCAUAUGCAUCAGAAGAACAGACUACACCAUCCAGGUUGCCAGUGAACCUCAGUAUACAACGAAAACCCUGCUAAUGAUCACUGUACCAUGGUCAUCCAUCCAAACAGCCAGUAAAAUGUUAGCCUUUGUGAGAGUGCCUCCACACUGCAUUAUGCAGUCAUCUGUUACAAAGAUCAGAAAAAUUCCAGUCCCUUAUUGCUUUUAAGAGGAGAGUUCGCUAUAAUUAAGGUAUAAGGAAAAUGAAGAAGAAGCCACCACAAAAAGUGCACCUAGGUAGGGCUGAGCAUAAAUGUUUGUCUUGAUGGAAGAGGAUGCAUUAGCUUGCAGUAUUUUUGUGCUAGUGCAGGGUUCACCAGCAAGCCAUCACAAGCGCUACAGUGUAUUCUCUACCAAGAGUGGUGUCUCAUCAGGGAGAAUGGCAGUAUCUUUUGGAUGGGAUGUGACUGGAAGGGUCCUAAUAGCCUUUAACCAAUGACAUGAGUGGAAAUAUCUAAGCAGCACUCCCCACAUGAUCUCAAGCACAAUGUCGACACCUGAUAGAAAGGAAGUUUGUAGGCGAAUGGGUUUUGCUAAAUAACUUCAACCCUGACCUAAGGAAGAGCUCUAUCUUCAAAUGAAAAUGAGCGAGCGAGCCGUCUCCCUCAACACCAUAGUGCCCUUGCCCCGGAGUGCCUACUGGCAGCACAUUACACGGCAACACAGUACGGGCCAGCUGUACGGCCUACAAG